UACGUAGGGAGCAAGCGUUGUUCGGAUUUACUGGGCGUAAAGGGCGCGUAGGCGGCGCGGUAAGUCACUUGUGAAAUCUCUGAGCUUAACUCAGAACGGCCAAGUGACACUGCAGUGCUAGAGUGCAGAAGGGGCAAUCGGAAUUCUUGGUGUAGCGGUGAAAUGCGUAGAUAUCAAGAGGAACACCUGAGGUGAAGACGGGUUGCUAGGCUGACACUGACGCUGAGGCGCGAAAGCCAGGGGAGCAAACGGG
Molecule: ribosomal RNA, 253 nt
Filed under: uncultured bacterium
Lineage: Bacteria
Description: partial 16S ribosomal RNA
Rfam family: Bacterial small subunit ribosomal RNA
Source: RNAcentral